This is a long non-coding RNA of Neopsephotus bourkii (Bourke's parrot), 2195 nucleotides long. RefSeq lists it as uncharacterized. The transcript has 2 exons. The record is from RefSeq and is a predicted model, not a curated record. Lineage: Eukaryota; Metazoa; Chordata; Aves; Psittaciformes; Psittacidae.
UUUCUCAUUUCAACAUUUUAGAAAGCCAACAAUAAAGGUUAGUUCUGUCCUCUAUAUGACUGACAAUCCAAGGGCACGUGUACAAAGUCAGGAUGAUACAAGUUGAUAUGCCAGAUUGUUAUUAGCAAAAACUGCACAAUCAGAAAUGUGGAUUUCUUUGCUCUUCCUGUAAGGACAUCUUUUAAAACUUAGGAGACUUAUAAUUCCUGAAAGCAUUAGUGGGCCCUUCAUCUUUGCUUGCACUGGAAAUGAUUUGCCUUUAUUUUUUUAAACUGCUUUUAACCUCAAUCCCUUCAAGCAAUCAGAUAGUUAUUCUUAGAAAGGUAGUUUAUAAAAAUGGAUUAACUUUGACAAUGACAUUGCAGCUGAGGACUGCUAAAUGUGUAAGCUUUUGUUGAUUUGAAAGAAGUAUGUUUUAUAUUCCAAUGAGGUGGAUAAAGGAGAAGUGAGCUCAAGGUGGAGAGUAUUUAUGCAAGUAAGGAAUCUGUCUCAAAGGUACCUUCUGCAACUUUGUGAAACAUAAAACAGAAACUCAGUCCCCUUUACUACACUUACAAGGAAAUUCUAACACACAAGAAGAAAAUACCUGCGCAAUGUACUAGGUUUCACAAUGUUCAUCCCUGACAGCUAUAUUUGCUUAACAGUUAUUCAACACGACAUAGAAAAAUUUAACUUCUGCUCAUAUUCUUAGUGUGUAAUAUUCUGUCAUUACAGCAGAGCUACAGAAGGCAUUUAGAAGCAGGUUGAGAAAAAACUGAUGCUAAAGUGAAAUUUAGUCUCCCAAGACAUAGGAAAGAGAGACUUGUAUGGGAGGAGCUGAGACUGCUUCGUGUUACAUCACUUUACGUAAUUUCUUUAAAAGUGUUUUGAUGGUUACCAGAGGGUUUUGAAUACGGUCUUUCAUAACAUCUUGUUCUAUUACACCUAGAUAAUUGGUUAUGUUAAAGUAAAUGAUGUAAAUUAAACAGGAAGAUGAAGGCAAGCUAGGGAAAUUAACUCUGAAAAAUGAGGAUGUAGGUUUCAUGAAGUUCCAGCUCAAGAUGCCUUGUCUCUUUUCUUAAAUGGAUGAUUGAGACCAUGGUUGCAAAUUAAGAACAAUUAACUGAGACAUGUUUCCCCUCUGGCAUAUUGGCAAUAUCAACACAGUAAAAACAACAAAAAAGUUGGUUUUUUUCAGCUUGCUUUAAGAUGCAAGGUUCAGUCCUUAGUUUUCUUCAACUGCAGGUGGUAAAGUAAAAGAAAACAGCUCUACACUGGCAUCAUAGUCCUUACUUCAUGUCUUUUGGACUACUGAGAAUCUGUGUGGGGUGGAAUUGUUCUGUUUUACACACACAGAUAAAUUACUAUCAGUCAGUGUAACAUUUCAAAGGAAUGUGUAGAUGAUCCCUUAUGUAAUUUAGUAACUAGAUUCAAAUGGAUGUAUACAAUCACAGCUGGCCUUUUGUGUGGGGAAAGACUUAAUUUAGGCAAGACACAGUGAAAAGACUGCUUGAGAAGUAUUAAGAUAGUAGACUAAUGCUGCUAAAGGAAUGUCUGAAAAUCUUGGCCCAUUCCAGGGUUCCAUGGAGCAGUCUAAAACCUGGGCUUAGCUCCUGCAGUUACUAAACAAGGUCACCAUUCCUAGGUUAUAUUUUACUACUCUCUUUAUCUCACUCUGGGAGGAAGAGACCAUAGGUGUGGUUUUUUAACAUGUUGGACACCUGCAUUCAUAAAGAUUCUCAGCAGAGAGAAUACAGUGCACUGUACUUGCAUUGGGUUAUUAUGCAUAUGGAAUUAGUGCAAGACCUGUGCUUGCAGACUACUCCUACGUCUUCAAAAAGAGGUUAAAUAACAUUUAAAUGACACAUUUCAUCAAGGUUGCCAUUAUCACAUAUCUGCAGAUUUUCUGCACAUUAAGCAUUACUCUUUACUAUGUAGCUUCAUUGUUCUAUUGCGUUUUGUUUAUCUGUGCUUUGUUUCCUUCAUCAUGUCUAAUCAGGCUAUUUAGAAACAAGUUUUCCGGGACCAAAACUUGCAGUUCUUUACCAUGUUUCCAUACUUUACUGUUCUAUUAAAUUUCAUUCACCUUUUGAGUGUCAGAUGUUUCACUAUGUGAAUCAGAUUGUCAUAGAGAUCUCAAAGUUUCCUGGGAAAGUAUUAUUACGCCUUCUAAUUUGCAACAUCUUACACCAAAUAAAGAAUACCUCCAUCGGUUC